CCAAGGUGCAGAGUUAUGGUUAUAUUCUCAUUUAUGAUGAGGCAAGAACAUUCUUUGUUUCGCAAAUCAAACCAGAAAAGAAAAAAAACAAUGAAAAUUUGUAUUCAUUUAGUAGACGUCCAUACAAAGGACAGUGUAAUUAAGAAAGAAAGAAUGAAACAAACAAACAAAAAACUGAUGAGUACAUGUGAUACAUGUUAGCCUACAUUACGAAAACACUAGAAGCACUUACGUACGUCCAUUUUGAUAUCAGGUCUUUCUUCUAAGGGAUGGCAUUUUAACAUCCCUCAUACCCCUGUCUGCGCUGUGACCGGAUCUUCAGCGGUCAUCCCCUGCUCUUUCACUCACCCUUCUCAUGUCGUGGUGGAAAAGGUCGUGUGGCAGAUCGACCCCGGGGAGGGCAAAGAACUCUCGGAGUACCCAGAGUACGAGGGGAGAGUGCAGUACAGUGCCGAUAUUCACCACAACUGCACACUGACCCUGAGAGAUGUGGAAACAUCAGAUUCUAAGGUGUAUUAUGUGAGGAUUAUAGCAAAGAAUCAGUCACAUGAAGCGACUGAAGUCCAAGUGCAUGUCUCACAGCUUUCUGUCCAGAUUCCUGACCCAGUGAUUGAGGGUAGUGAGGUGAAGAUGAGUUGCAGCGCCCCCUGUGGUCUGGAGGACGACGCCACAGUGAUAUGGAGAAAGAAUGGAGAAGAAUUACCUGGUGAACAAACAAGCAACAUCGACCUUGUCAUCGAGAACAUUAGGACUGAGGACGAGGGUUACUAUUCCUGUGCCUUACAACAUGGCACACAUUCAUCUGAAGCAGUGGAGCUCAAUGUGAAAUAUGCUCCCAAGAACACCGCAGCAUCAGCC
Long non-coding RNA from Clupea harengus (Atlantic herring), 858 nucleotides. RefSeq lists it as uncharacterized. The record is from RefSeq and is a predicted model, not a curated record. The transcript has 3 exons. NCBI's taxonomy places the organism in Eukaryota, Metazoa, Chordata, Actinopteri, Clupeiformes, Clupeidae.